GGCGGCAGGCCUAACACAUGCAAGUCGAGCGCUACCUUCGGGUGGAGCGGCGGACGGGUUAGUAACGCGUGGGAAUAUGCCCUUCUCUACGGAAUAGCCUCGGGAAACUGAGAGUAAUACCGUAUACGCCCUACGGGGGAAAGAUUUAUCGGAGAGGGAUUAGCCCGCGUUGGAUUAGGUAGUUGGUGGGGUAAUGGCCUACCAAGCCUACGAUCCAUAGCUGGUUUGAGAGGAUGAUCAGCAACACUGGGACUGAGACACGGCCCAGACUCCUACGGGAGGCAGCAGUGGGGAAUCUUAGACAAUGGGCGCAAGCCUGAUCUAGCCAUGCCGCGUGAGUGAUGAAGGCCUUAGGGUCGUAAAGCUCUUUCGCUAGGGAAGAUAAUGACGGUACCUAGUAAAGAAGUCCCGGCUAACUCCGUGCCAGCAGCCGCGGUAAUACGGAGGGGACUAGCGUUGUUCGGAAUUACUGGGCGUAAAGCGCGCGUAGGCGGAUUGGAAAGUUGGGGGUGAAAUCCCAGGGCUCAACCCUGGAACUGCCUCCAAAACUAUCAGUCUAGAGUUCGAGAGAGGUGAGUGGAAUUCCGAGUGUAGAGGUGAAAUUCGUAGAUAUUCGGAGGAACACCAGUGGCGAAGGCGGCUCACUAGCUCGAUACUGACGCUGAGGUGCGAAAGUGUGGGGAGCAAACAGGAUUAGAUACCCUGGUAGUCCACACCGUAAACGAUGAAUGCCAGACGUCGGGCAGUAUACUGUUCGGUGUCACACCUAACGGAUUAAGCAUUCCGCCUGGGGAGUACGGUCGCAAGAUUAAAACUCAAAGGAAUUGACGGG
RNAcentral lists this ribosomal RNA (832 nucleotides) under uncultured Alphaproteobacteria bacterium. RNAcentral describes it as "bacterial SSU rRNA". It matches the Rfam family "Bacterial small subunit ribosomal RNA", at positions 38 to 917 of the family's 1533-position model. The record is from RNAcentral. Lineage: Bacteria; Pseudomonadati; Pseudomonadota; Alphaproteobacteria.